AUGGCAGCAUCGCAGGGUUCAAUAUCGAGGAUGCCGUCGAGGUGCACAGCAGAGACGGCUCGGGCCACGGUCGCGUUCGAGAUCGCCGGCUACAGGCUGCUCAAGGGCCACGGUAGAGGCAAAUGCCUCCGUUCUCCAGCAUUCUCCAUCGGCGGCUACGAAUGGCGCAUUCGCUACUACCCCGACGGUAACCAAAGCGAGGCAGCCGAAGGUUACGUCUCCCUCUUCCUCGAGCUCCUUACCGAAAAGGCCGAGGUGAGGGCCACUUUCAACUUCAUGAUUGUGGAGCCGGUUGAGCGGAAGUCGAUUUUGGUGUGCUCCUUCAAAGAGCCACUAGUGUUCGACCCUGAAAGGUCAUCUUGGGGCGUAACAAACUUCAUGAAGACCACCACUGAAGUAGAGUCGGUGUACCUGCGAAACGAUUGUCUCGUGAUCGAGUGCGAAGUCAGUGUUAUCAAGGAAACACUCGAGGUCCACGUUCCACCGUCCCGCCUUGUGGAUAAUCUUGCAAAAUUACUAGAGGGGAAGAAAGGAGCGGACGUGACUUUCAAGGUCCAAGGGGAGGUUUUUUCUGCUCAUAAGGUUUUGCUUGCGACGCAAUCAGCGGUCUUCGACGCGGAGUUCUACGGGCCGAUGGGGGGCAAAGGGGCGCAGGACAUAACUAUAGAUGGCAUGCAGCCUGCUGUUUUCAAGUCAUUUCUUCACUUCAUCUACACGGAUUCAAUGCCUUCCAUGGACGAUCUCGAGGAUGAUGACAAAAGAGAAAUGGUUAAGCACUUACUUGUGGCUGCAGAUAAGUAUGCCAUGGAAAGGAUGAAGCUGAUAUGUGAAGGCAUGCUAUGCAAGAGUCUUGAUGUUGAGAAUGUGGCGACCAUAUUAGCUCUAGCUGACCAGCACAAUUGCAGCAAUCUCAAAGAUGCUUGCAUGGAAUUUAUGCUCUCUUCGAAUAGAAUGAAUGAUGUGAUCGCAAGCCAAGGCUAUGUACAACUCAAGAGAUCUUCGCCUGAUAUCAUUGUGGAUGUAUUGGAGAGAGCAGCUAAGUCCCGCAAAAUUUAG
Molecule: ribosomal RNA, 1056 nt
Filed under: Triticum aestivum (bread wheat)
Lineage: Eukaryota; Viridiplantae; Streptophyta; Magnoliopsida; Poales; Poaceae
Description: partial small subunit ribosomal RNA
Source: RNAcentral